AGUAUUGUGCCAGAGUUUUAAUGGGCUUUGUUGAUGUCAAAGAAUACGAGAAAUUUUCUCCAAUACUU
RNAcentral lists this transfer RNA (68 nucleotides) under Magallana gigas (Pacific oyster). RNAcentral's name for it is "tRNA-Ile". RNAcentral also lists the same sequence under 2 other names. Lineage: Eukaryota; Metazoa; Mollusca; Bivalvia; Ostreida; Ostreidae. The record is from RNAcentral.